Molecule: unclassified non-coding RNA, 345 nt
Filed under: soil metagenome
Description: partial contains 5.8S ribosomal RNA, internal transcribed spacer 2, and large subunit ribosomal RNA
Rfam family: 5.8S ribosomal RNA (bases 1-120)
Source: RNAcentral
GAUGAAGAACGCAGCGAAAUGCGAUAAGUAGUGUGAAUUGCAGAAUUCCGUGAAUCAUCGAGUCUUUGAACGCACAUUGCGCCCUCUGGUAUUCCGGGGGGCAUGCCUGUCCGAGCGUCAUUGCUGCCCUCAAGCACGGCUUGUGUGUUGGGCCUCCGUCCUCCUCCCGGGGGACGGGCCCGAAAGGCAGCGGCGGCACCGCGUCCGGUCCUCGAGCGUAUGGGGCUUCGUCACCCGCUCUUGUAGGCCCGGCCGGCGCUUGCCGACACAUCAAUCUUUUUUCCAGGUUGACCUCGGAUCAGGUAGGGAUACCCGCUGAACUUAAGCAUAUCAAUAAGCGGAGGA